CCUGGCGGCGAGUGGCGAACGGGUGAGUAAUAUAUCGGAACGUACCCUGGAGUGGGGGAUAACGUAGCGAAAGUUACGCUAAUACCGCAUACGAUCUAAGGAUGAAAGUGGGGGAUCGCAAGACCUCAUGCUCCUGGAGCGGCCGAUAUCUGAUUAGCUAGUUGGUAGGGUAAAAGCCUACCAAGGCAUCGAUCAGUAGCUGGUCUGAGAGGACGACCAGCCACACUGGAACUGAGACACGGUCCAGACUCCUACGGGAGGCAGCAGUGGGGAAUUUUGGACAAUGGGCGCAAGCCUGAUCCAGCAAUGCCGCGUGAGUGAAGAAGGCCUUCGGGUUGUAAAGCUCUUUUGUCAGGGAAGAAACGGAUUUUUCUAAUACAGAGAUCUAAUGACGGUACCUGAAGAAUAAGCACCGGCUAACUACGUGCCAGCAGCCGCGGUAAUACGUAGGGUGCAAGCGUUAAUCGGAAUUACUGGGCGUAAAGCGUGCGCAGGCGGUUUUGUAAGACUGUCGUGAAAUCCCCGGGCUCAACCUGGGAAUGGCGAUGGUGACUGCAAGGGCUAGAGUUUGGCAGAGGGGGGUAGAAUUCCACGGUGUAGCAGUGAAAUGCGUAGAUAUGUGGAGGAACACCGAUGGCGAAGGCAGCCCCCUGGGUCAAAACUGACGCUCAUGCACGAAAGCGUGGGGAGCAAACAGGAUUAGAUACCCUGGUAGUCCACGCCCUAAACGAUGUCUACUAGUUUGUCGGGUUUUAAUUAACUUGGUAACGCAGCUAACGCGUGAAGUAGACCGCCUGGGGGAGUACGGUCGCAAGAUUAAAACUCAAAGGAAUUGACGGGGACCCGCACAAGCGGU
RNAcentral lists this ribosomal RNA (856 nucleotides) under Duganella zoogloeoides. RNAcentral describes it as "bacterial SSU rRNA". It matches the Rfam family "Bacterial small subunit ribosomal RNA", at positions 84 to 933 of the family's 1533-position model. The record is from RNAcentral. Lineage: Bacteria; Pseudomonadati; Pseudomonadota; Betaproteobacteria; Burkholderiales; Oxalobacteraceae.